This 431-nucleotide ribosomal RNA is filed under the name uncultured bacterium. Its description in RNAcentral is "bacterial SSU rRNA". It matches the Rfam family "Bacterial small subunit ribosomal RNA", at positions 29 to 507 of the family's 1533-position model. The record is from RNAcentral.
AACGAACGCUGGCGGCAUGCCUAACACAUGCAAGUCGAACGCCCCGCAAGGGGAGUGGCGAACGGGUGAGUAACGCGUGGGAACCUACCCAGCAGUUGGGGAUAACCGCGGGAAACUGCGGCUAAUACCGAAUACGUCCUUAGGGAGAAAGAUUUAUCGCUGUUGGAGGGGCCCGCGUCGGAUUAGCUAGUUGGUGAGGUAACGGCUCACCAAGGCGACGAUCCGUAGCUGGUCUGAGAGGAUGAUCAGCCACACUGGGACUUAGACACGGCCCAGACUCCUACGGGAGGCAGCAGUGGGGAAUAUUGGACAAUGGGGGCAACCCUGAUCCAGCAAUGCCGCGUGAGUGAUGAAGGCCUUAGGGUUGUAAAGCUCUUUUACCGGGGACGAUGAUGACGGUACCCGGAGAAUAAGCCCCGGCUAACUUCGUG